This is a long non-coding RNA of Ixodes scapularis (black-legged tick), 208 nucleotides long. RefSeq lists it as uncharacterized. NCBI's taxonomy places the organism in Eukaryota, Metazoa, Arthropoda, Arachnida, Ixodida, Ixodidae. The record is from RefSeq and is a predicted model, not a curated record. The transcript has 3 exons.
CAAUCUGCCAAACCUUGCGGAGCAAGACGGCCCAGUGCAACAAGAGGAGCCAAGAGACCAGCAGCAACUGAUCAACAAAGCAAGGCCACAUUCAAGCGGAUCCAACAUGCAGGACCCUGUUGGCACCUGCGUAAAUCUUUUGGAGGAGAUACGGGAGAGGCGUGCGAGGAAGGCAGGUGGCCCCGAAGGUCCAGUUCAUCACUUCUGU